CUACGGGUCGCUGCAGUGGGGAAUAUUGCACAAUGGGCGCAAGCCUGAUGCAGCCAUGCCGCGUGUAUGAAGAAGGCCUUCGGGUUGUAAAGCACUUUCAGCGGGGAGGAAGGGAGUAAAGUUAAUACCUUUGCUCAUUGACGUUACCCGCAGAAGAAGCACCGGCUAACUCCGUGCCAGCAGCCGCGGUAAUACGGAGGGUGCAAGCGUUAAUCGGAAUUACUGGGCGUAAAGCGCACGCAGGCGGUUUGUUAAGUCAGGUGUGAAAUCCCCGGGCGCAACCUGGGAACUGCAUCUGAUACUGGCAAGCUCGAGUCUCGUAGAGGGGGGUAGAAUUCCAGGUGUAGCGGUGAAAUGCGUAGAGAUCUGGAGGAAUACCGGUGGCGAAGGCGGCCCCCUGGACGAAGACUGACGCUCAGGUGCGAAAGCGUGGGGAGCAAACAGGAUUAGAUACCCCCGUAGUC
Molecule: ribosomal RNA, 464 nt
Filed under: uncultured bacterium
Lineage: Bacteria
Description: partial 16S ribosomal RNA
Rfam family: Bacterial small subunit ribosomal RNA
Source: RNAcentral